GCAAGAAUACUGGAGUGGGUUGCCAUUUCUUUCUCCAGGGGAUCUUCCCAACCCAGGGAUCGAACCCAGGUCUCCCGCAUUGCGGGCAGACGCUUUAACCUCUGAGCCACCGAGGUUUAUUAGGUCACUGUUACUAGGAAGGAGGGGAAUGGUCGCUGGCCAACAGGUAAAUGUGUCCACUGGAGGUUUCAUCUGCAUGUCACUUUGUGUAAUUUCUACUUUUACUAUUAAUAGCAUUUCAAGGGAAGCAAAUUCACAAAUUUAGGAGAAUGCCAGAGAUUUCAAUACACCAGAAGUCAAACUAUAUUUUUAAAAUGAAGAAACUCAUCUCUAUAGCUGUAACUUCAUUUUCAUCUAUAGGUUCUCCCUCACCGUUUUUCCCCUCAGUUUCAGCUUAACUGUUGAAGAAGCCUGGUCCUUUGUCCUGUAAAGUUUAAGUGUCUAGAAGACUUUGCGAACUGCAUCUUUUUGGUGUCAUUUCACAUGUUCCUCUAAUGUCUGUAUUCUCGACAAACUGGUAUUCAGAUCCAGAGCUGAGCUGAGAUUCAAGUUUGGCAGAAAUUCUUUGGCAGAAUUCUAUACAGUGCUGUGAACUUUCACCAGGAGGCCAGAAGGCAAAUGUUUACAGGAAAUACUAAAAGCCACCAAGAGACGCAGACAGUAAGAGUUAUACAGGGUUUAAACAAAAGGUGAAGUCAUUUCCAGAGUUGAGAUGAUGGGAGAGUCACAGAGGAAGUAGUUCUAAUGGUGGCCUUUCAGACAGGUAGACCUGCAUGCCAGCAUGGGGGAAGCGGAGGCGUGUGCACGGGGAGAUGCAGCUGAAGUGAGCCAGGAGAAGCGAGGGCUUGUCUGCAAGCGUGUGCCUGCCGAAGAGUCCCCAGGAAGUACAGCGGCGGCCUGGUGGCUUGGAGAUGAGGAAGGGAGUGGAGAGAGGGUGACAGUCCGGCACAUCCUGCUGUGAAGGGGCACUGUCCCUGAGGGCUCCAGAGAGCACAGCUGACGCGGGGCUAGAGCCGUGCAGAGCAAGGUGGCUGAGGGUCUGACCACUCAGGUGGUCCACUGCUUCAGCUCAUAGGCAACUUGAGGAAUACAGCAAUGUGAAAAAAAGACCAGACUGAUGGAGUGAGCUGGGCUUGGUGCCAAAGGGGAACCUCAGCUUUCUUUUCUUGAGACACAGGUAUGUGUCCUGUGUUUGGUGGGGAGGGGGCUUUUCGAAAAAGAAACUUCCAGAGUCUUUCUUUGAAAUACUGACUUAAAUAAAAUGGUUGAAUAAACA
Long non-coding RNA from Bubalus bubalis (water buffalo), 1276 nucleotides. RefSeq lists it as uncharacterized. The transcript has 2 exons. NCBI's taxonomy places the organism in Eukaryota, Metazoa, Chordata, Mammalia, Artiodactyla, Bovidae. The record is from RefSeq and is a predicted model, not a curated record.